GUGUAGAUGUGUUUAUGGAGUUAAAAGCAUUGGUAUUGGCACAACUAAGGCGUUGGGAGGCACAGAUAUAGCGAAGUGUUCAGGUUUGGCUUUGUUUGUGGAGUUGAAGAGUCGAUAUUGGCAAAUUUGGAACAUUGGUAGAUUGAUAGUAAAGUGUGCGUGUUAUUGGCAAAUGUAGAACAUAGGAAGAUAAGGUUAUAGUGCAUUGUGCAGGCACGCUACCAUGCACUCUUGAUGUAGAGUACUCCUACCCUUUGGAUUAUGCCCAGCAAGUGCACUAUCCCAAUUAGCUAUUCUCAAUAUGUUGGUUCAAUAUAUAUUAGGACCCCAAGAAAGUUCCAUGAGAUUUGUGUUUGUGCAGAGGGAUCAGGACUUCAUGGAAGUGUCAGUCUCAACAUGCUCUGGAAAGUAGAGAAACAAUGCAACAGGUUGCCAGUAUUGUCCCACAGUCAUCAAGACAUGGUCACAAUAUCCCACUGCUUAUAGAUGAUCUAAAAAGCCAUUGAAAGUCAUUUUAAUAGUAAAACCCAUGAGGCCUGCUGCUAUAAGGACUAAUGCUAUAUUGACUAGUGUGUGGAUCAUAUUAAUUAAUGGUUGCCUAUGUCAGCUUACCAGUAACUUACUUCCAUAAUGUUAAAACAUUUCAUGUGAUUGUGUUUUGUGUAAUACAACAUUUGUCAUGUCACUUUAAGUAUAAAAUUGCAUUGAACCUAUGCAUUUUAUGAAUUGAUCAACUGCAAUCCUGUCUUUAUAAGUUUUUAAAGUCUUGAUUUCAAGAUAAAUAAACAGUUUAAGUUGUUUGUGUGACUAUAUCUCAUUGAAAAUGACUGCAUAAAAUGUGAAGUGAUAAGCUUGAGUACUUGCUGUCAAGUUUUAAAUAUUUUAUACUUUUAGGAUAUGAAAACUAUUUUAUCUAUGACAAUGAUAGAUGAGUUAAUUUUUUAUGUUGAUAUUAGUGUAGAAUGACUUUGUAAAAUUUACAUAAAUCCUGAACAGAAGCAUCAAAAUCAAAGAAAUUUGCAUGGUAGCUAGGCGACUAAAAUUUCCUUCAGUUAAAAAGGAUUUUUAACAGGAAGAACAUAUUAAAAUUAAAAAGACUCUGUAUGUUUGAUAUCAUUGUAAUUCUUUCAGAACUUAAUCUCCUGCAUGCCUGAAAAUUUGGAAAUUUAUAACAAAAUAAUAUAUGAUAACCCGAAGUGCAGUGCAGUGCAAAAGAAUUAGUACUCUGAACUUCUUAAUUUUUGAAUAAUUGCCCUUUGUUAAUUUUUCAUACUUUAAUUUUGUCUGGGCCAUUUCUCUUCAACUAUAAAACCUAUGGACUUAGACUUCAUAGAAUGAUAGAUCUCAUUUAGAAAAAGUGCAGUGCACAAGGACUGGUACUUUGCACUUCCUAAUUUUUGAGUUAUGGUCCUUUGUUAAUUUUCAUAUUUUAUUUUUGUCCAGGUCAUUUCUCCUAAAGUACAAAAGCUAUGGACAUGAAACUUCAUAGGAUGAUAGAUCUCAAUAAAAAAAUGUGCAUUGUACAAGAACCAAUAAUCUGCAUUUCUUAUUUUUGAGUUAUUGCCCUUUAUUAAUUUUUCAUAAAUUAUAAAAGCUAUGGACUUGAAACUUCAUAGGAUGAUAUAUCUUAUUGAUAAGAAGUAUAGUGCAAAGAAAAUGCUGCUCUGCACUUCUUAUUUUUUGAGUUAUUGCCCUUUGUUAAUUUUCUUGUUCUGGCCAUUUCUCCUAAACUACAUAGUUCACAAGGCGACAUAUCCGACUCGUGAAGUUCUGGUUCAUUCAAAUAGCCAGUUGUGCACUUAAAAUUUGUUUAAAUUU
Ruditapes philippinarum (Manila clam) is the source of this 1818-nucleotide long non-coding RNA. RefSeq lists it as uncharacterized. Lineage: Eukaryota; Metazoa; Mollusca; Bivalvia; Venerida; Veneridae. The transcript has 4 exons. The record is from RefSeq and is a predicted model, not a curated record.